RNAcentral lists this unclassified non-coding RNA (485 nucleotides) under Hevea brasiliensis (rubber tree). Lineage: Eukaryota; Viridiplantae; Streptophyta; Magnoliopsida; Malpighiales; Euphorbiaceae. The record is from RNAcentral.
ACCAUCUUUAAACAUAUUAUAGGCUUCUCGCAUGACUGGCCGUGGAUCUCUACCAACCUCAAGAUAUCUUUUUCUUGCUUCAUGAACUCCAUACAAUUGAGCUUCACAAAGAAAACACCAUAUUGACUCCUCUGUAUCAUUUGGGUUUUGGGCAACGUCUAUACGGAAUUGAUGUGCACCUUCCUCAUACCUAUCGAGAUAAUACAGAGACAACCCCCUUUGCCAAAGAUCUGAUGAAGUAAAAGAUGUGAGGUGAGUUCACGAUAAUAUUGAGUUGAAACUGGUACUCAUUUCAGAAGCUCACAUGCUUUCUGGCGAGGAUCAAGCUGAAUUGCCUUGUCAAACUCCACCAAAGACCCUGACCUGUCUAAAAAGAUGCAUUCCUUUUCGAAUUGCCAUCACAGCGGAGUUACCACUUGUUAGGGCAUCCCACACCCUACAAACAAAUACUCUUCUACUCAAGGUUGGUACUGGGUUCUGAUAAG